AGCAACAAAACUCGAAAAAUAAAGCUUCCUAUGCUAGGCAAAUUAACAUAGAUAUACAAAAUAUAGAAAAUUAUCUUACUCCGAAGAAGAAGCAUUAAUCAAAAACAAAAAAGCAAAUAGAGUUUCUUACGCUAAGAACCGUUUGAAUUCAUGAAAUUAAAUAGUCAUAUUAGAAUAUUAGAAUGUUAUUGUGAUUUAAAAAAAGAUGUAGAAAAUUAUUUUUGAACUACUGAAUAAAGCAUUAACCAAAACACAGUGAACAAAAGGUAAAUGUUACUUAUGGAAAGAACAGACUGAGGAUGGACAAUACGGUGAAAGAGGUCGAAUUGUUCAACGCAAAGUCUUGAAAUCAGAACUCGGGCCUCCGUCAUCCUUUUCAAUCCUCAGAACAAACCCCGCCGGUGAUGUCGAAGCAUUCCAUAUGGCCAUAGAAAUAGCUGACGCCGACGAAACCAUACCGUCGCCGUUGGAAUCAUCAUUGACUGAGUAAGGUCUUACGAGGGAGACUAAUUAACGGAUUAUAAGGAUGGGGCCGGUUUCUAAAAUAAACGGGUUAAAAUUGCCUAGUUAGCAAUUAAUUAUUUUGGAGGUCCCGAUGAUACCUAAG
RNAcentral lists this long non-coding RNA (607 nucleotides) under Nicotiana benthamiana. RNAcentral describes it as "long non-coding RNA (NBEN_LNC042329)". Lineage: Eukaryota; Viridiplantae; Streptophyta; Magnoliopsida; Solanales; Solanaceae. The record is from RNAcentral.